This 482-nucleotide ribosomal RNA is filed under the name uncultured bacterium. RNAcentral describes it as "partial 16S ribosomal RNA". It matches the Rfam family "Bacterial small subunit ribosomal RNA", at positions 30 to 507 of the family's 1533-position model. The record is from RNAcentral.
AUUGAACGCUGGCGGCAUGCCUUACACAUGCAAGUCGAACGGUAACAGGUCUUCGGAUGCUGACGAGUGGCGAACGGGUGAGUAAUACAUCGGAACGUGCCCGAUCGUGGGGGAUAACGAGGCGAAAGCUUUACUAAUACCGCAUACGAUCUACGGAUGAAAGCGGGGGAUCUUCGGACCUCGCGCGGACGGAGCGGCCGAUGGCAGAUUAGGUAGUUGGUGGGAUAAAAGCUUACCAAGCCGACGAUCUGUAGCUGGUCUGAGAGGAUGAUCAGCCACACUGGGACUGAGACACGGCCCAGACUCCUACGGGAGGCAGCAGUGGGGAAUUUUGGACAAUGGGCGAAAGCCUGAUCCAGCCAUGCCGCGUGCAGGAUGAAGGCCUUUGGGUUGUAAACUGCUUUUGUACGGAACGAAAAGCCUCUUUCUAAUAAAGAGGGGUCAUGACGGUACCGUAAGAAUAAGCACCGGCUAACUACGUG